This 245-nucleotide ribosomal RNA is filed under the name uncultured bacterium. RNAcentral describes it as "partial 16S ribosomal RNA". It matches the Rfam family "Bacterial small subunit ribosomal RNA", at positions 15 to 244 of the family's 1533-position model. The record is from RNAcentral.
GAUCCUGGCUCAGGAUAAACGCUGGCGGCGUGCGUAACACAUGCAAGUCGAACGAGAUUGCUUUGACGGAACCUUCGGGGGAAGAUGAAGCAUGAAAGUGGCGGAUGGGUGAGUAACGCGUAAGAAACCUGCCUUUCACACCGGGAUAGCAGCUGGAAACGGCUAUUAAUACCGGAUGAUACUUUUCUGACGCAUGUUAGGAAGGUCAAAGAAUUUCGGUGAAAGAUGGUCUUGCGUCUGAUUAG